Rattus norvegicus (Norway rat) is the source of this 4734-nucleotide non-coding RNA. Lineage: Eukaryota; Metazoa; Chordata; Mammalia; Rodentia; Muridae. The record is from RefSeq and is a predicted model, not a curated record.
CCAACCAUGUAAGAUCUCAGGUGGAGUGGCUAUUGACUGCUUCCCCGAUUGGGCCUGGAAUAUAAGGCAGGAGAUUAGAGACACAACUAAGCUGAGGGAAGAUGUAGGAUGCUGAGUGAGGAGAAGGUAACCAGGCAACUAAACUAAGGGCAGAUUUAGAGUGUUGAGUAAAGAGAAGGGCACACUGGCCAUAGGAGGCUUAGAAGAGCCCAGCCACUGAGUCAUCAGGCAGGUUAAAGUGAGCUAAUGUGUAUGUUUGUCUAUUACCUGCAGAUCCAAGGUAACCAGGGCAGUGGCCGGCAGUGCAGUCUGCCCGGAACUUAAAACAGGAACUUAGAAACUACACACUACAAGAAAUGCUUAGGAAUUCUUGUCCAGUUGGGUAUGUGGGUGCAUGCCUUUAAUCCCAGCACUCUGGUAGUAAAGGCAGGCAGAUCUCUAUGAAUUUGAGGCCAGCCUUGUCUACAUAGCAGGUCCCAGGCCAGCCAGGACUACAUAGUGAGACCCGGCCUCUAAAGACAGCAACAAAACGACAGUGUCUUUAGCCACUAGUUUCUCAUAGCAGAGCUGUCUUUCUAUCCAUCUGUCUGUCUAUCAUCUACCUAUGAUAUCUAUAUAUAAUCUAUCUUUUUAUCUCAUAUGUGUGUGCAUGCAUGUGUACAUUGGACAUCAGGUGUCACCUUAGGGUCUGUGUUAUGGUUUAAAUAUGAUUGACCUAGGGAAUGGCACUGUUAGGAGGUAUGGCCUUGUUGGAGUGGGUGUGGCCCUGUUGGAGUAGGUGUGUCACUGUGGGUGUGGGCUUUAAGACCCUCAUCCUAGCUGCCCGGAAGUCAGUCUUCUACUAGCUGCCUUCAGAUGAAGAUGUAGAACUCUCAGCUCUGCCUGCACCAUGCCUGCCUGGAUGCUGCCAUGUUCUUGCCUUUAUGAUAACGGACUGAACCUCUGAACUUGUAAGCCAGCCCCAAUUAAAUGUUGUCCUUAUAAGAGAUGCCUUGGUCAUGGUAUCUGCUCACAACAGUAAAACCCCAACUAAGACAGUCUGCCUAAGAGUCUCUGAAUGGCCUGGGACUUGCAGACCAGCCUCUGCUGGCUGGCCAGUGAGCCCCAGAUAUCCCACUUGUCUCCACCUCCCCAGUCCUGGGGUUACAAAUAUGCCACCACACUUGGCUCAUUUUUAAACAUGGGUUCUGGGGCUCACACAUGGGUCCUCAUGCUUUGCACAGCAGGUGCUUUGCAGCCAUGUGCCGCCUCUCCAGCUUUGUGCAGAUAUCCCUUACUAGACACAGGGAAAUAGCCUCCUUUUGCUUGCCGACAAGCAAAACUUAACUAAGCAAAACUAAGACUACUCUUGAAGCCAAUAGACAGCUACAGUGAUCUGUUUCAGGAACAGUGCAGUCAGAACACCAUAGGUAGGACCUGGCCAGGUGGCUAUGGGGAGGAACAGGAAACUGUUGGGGUGGGCUGUGGAGCUAGAUAUGGAAGACGUUACAGUGUAUCCGUUGGAAUAACCCAUACACAUUGUAUCAACUGGCUAUGAAAGUAGAAAGUGUGUCCUUUGUUCUCAGUUGUUAAUUGCUGUGCACCCCACCCCCUCCAGCUCAGGAUAUGUAACUAUGUAAUGCUUCCUCACUUACCCAAAGAGAACAGCAGGCUGCCGUGGGGAGGGAUCUCUCCCACUAUAGUAAUAGCUUUUUUUGUAUGAGGAAAAAAUUUGGCAUUCGAGCAAUAAAGUGUUGGCAGCUGAAGCUGGGGCAGAAGAGAGGGAAAGGAGACCAAGACAGAGGAAUGGGAGCAGAACAGGGAGGUAGAGCAAAGAGAGCCACAUGGAGAGACACGGUGGUGAAAGCCAGGUUAAGUUAGAUAGGCUCGCUAGCUGAGGAAUGGCCAAUAGCCUUUUAUUACAUAGAUGCCUCUGUGACUUUAUUAUUAUUAAAUCACAAGCGGGAGCCUUUGGAAUCCCCCGCAAUAGAGUCACUUACUAGUGCUUUAGGGGCUAUUGUUCUGGUGAGGAUAUUGACCUUUAAGCAGGAAAACAUCCCACGUAGGGAAGGGUGGGGCACAGCUGCUGCUCCCCAUGGUAACUGAAACAGUGGAUUUGGAUGCCUUUCCUCCUGUUAAUCUGUCUGGUGUGUGUUUAUUUCAAAAGCCUUGGCGACUGACCCUCCAAAGAAAACAGAGAGAAAAACAGACUCAGCGACAUGAAGUGAUUCUAAAAAGGACCGGAGAGGCAGGCUUCGCAGCUCUCACAGAUGGGGAAUCCGACUUCAUCUUAAUCACCUGCCUGCUGUCCUUCAGCCGCUCAAAGGCGAGCUUUUUCCGGAGUCUGCUGCGCCUGAAGCCCCCAGGGCCAAUCUGCUCCCCAGGAAGCCCCGCCCUGCUGCCUCCCCUUCCACCCUCAGCCAGAAUCAGACACCGGCUUUUCAAUUCCACCGGAAUUUCCUGAGGCUUUGCCCAGAUCUUUCCUCCAGGCUCCAGUUGAACGCUGCUGGUCCAUUUCGCCCCCAGCAUGGGACUGGUUGUGUCGGUAAAGCAGCCUUACCUGGGACACCGCCCAGCUGUAUAAUCAAACAUUAGAUGCCCGGGUGAGAAAUCAUAGCUUGAAACCUCAUCCAGAACUUGACCAGUCUCUCUGCCAUAAAUCUUAUCCUGUUCUGUCAUAACAGCGGGUCAGCAGGACCGCCGGACACCUCACCCGAGGGGCUCUAAGCAUAUGGGGAAAAGAGUUGACUGUAAGUCAACAACCCAAGGCAGUAGGCUCAACCCUGCAGCCCUAGCCGGAGGGUCUGCAUAAGAAAGGGAGUGCCAGGUACAAACCCCCACUGUCCUGAAUCCCUACCUCAAAAGAUUGAGGCCCAGGCCUCCUAGCAGCCUCCACCUUAGCUAGAUGCAGACUGGCUUUCCAGGGCUUUUUACUCGAUGCCUCUUUAAAGUGUCUAAUUUUAAUGAAGAAAUCUUUCAUCUGCCACCCUGUUUCCAAGAGACAGGUUUGGAAGGAAUUUUCACAAGUCACCGAGGCCCUUGGAAAUGUUUCCUGGUGGGAAACGCAAGGCUGUAAGACACAAGAUGUUCUCACUCUGGGUGAGAGCGGAGGGGCCAAGAGAAGGAAAUAAAACACCCCCCACCCCAAGCGUUUCAAGAGCCAAGUGGAGGGAGGAUACAGGGGUACAAGCAGAAGGGGAAGAGAAUUGCACUGGGAGUGGAGAAAGGGUAGUUGUACCAGAGAACAGAAUCCUUCUGGGGUUAAGUGGGGAGAGAGGGGGUGGGGGAUACUCAGAAGGGCCACAGGAUGAGUGGGGAACGGCACCCACAACAGGAAGGAGAGCAAAGGCCCCAAAUAUAUACACGACACACACACACAACGGAAUUAAAAACUCAAAUUUAUCCCCUCUGGAGCUAUGUAAGCCAGAGAGGAUUUAAAAAAAAAAUCUGUUGAACUGAAAAUUUCAUAGCUGAACUGAGGCUGAACUGACAUUGUUGAAUUGGGGCUCGGGGCAGCGAAUGCAGCUGUGUGCUCAGUCACAGCCCUUCCAGAGGUGAGGCUGGGAUAGAACAUCUUCAAGGGUCGGGACUCCCAGAUAAGGCUCUCCCUAGCUCCUCCCAUCAAGGAAGCGGCUUCCCCAGCAUUCAUCUCCAGGGGGCGCCAUAACGUUUCCUGUGGACUGUGUGCUACACCCUCCACAGGGAGCAAUGGAGGUCCCUAGGUAGGCGCUUCGUGCUGUCAGAUCCUUCUCUGAGGUUCUCUGUAUUCUCUGGACGCACACACCUCCAGCCCCCAUCAGGAGAGGGACUGGAUAAAUAGGUUAGAAACACAGGGAGGGAAAGUUGGGAGUAUGGAUUUUUCGUACCAGCUGAGCCAACAGAUGCCGGGUGGCGGGGAGGGGUAAGAGGGUGAGGAAGCGUAAGUCAUAAGUCAUGGACAAGGAAGAGGUAUGGGGGUUAAUGGAGGAGACUUUGGGAAGAGAGUGGCUUUCCAGUGUCAUUAAAAAGCCUCCUCUCAAGUCCAUGAGCACGUCGACCAGGCUUUUUUUUUUUUUUUUUCCCAGUAAGCCUCUGGAUUAAUAUCUGGACACAGUGUCUUCUGCAACUGGUGAUUGAAAAACACCAUUUUUCCUAGCACCUCUCUGACACACAGUCCACACCAGCACCAAAGGACAGAGUGAGGAAGAGGCUAACAAGGCAAAAACUACAAACAUCAACCUGGUUUGUAAAGGCAGCGUUUUCAAAGCAUUUGUUUACCCUGCUUCCGCUAAUGAGAUACUACUUGUAGAUGCAAAUUUUUAAGGAUGUUAUCUUCAGCCCGGAGAGAAAGAAACUGUAAUUUGCAGUUUUUUUUUUCUGGGAGUGAUAACCUUCGGAAGUAAUGAUUUCGCUGAUUAACUGCUGCGAACAAAACAUUGUUGCCAAACCUGUUAAUCUAAAACUAGCAAUAGAACUGCUGUUAGAUCCACAUUCCCAUCCCUCCAAUCCCCAGAGAGCUCGGAGAAAUAUUUCUCAUUUCAAUAGCCUUCAUCUUCUGAUGUGUUUUAUUGCCUCUGCUAAUAGGUUAGCCAUAAGUUAGGAGCGGCUUCCGGCUUCGAGAUAGAUAUCAAGUGAACCGCAUAGAGGAAGGAGUUCGAGAAGAAAAGCAAUCCCACUUAAAGCAUAAUUUUUUUUAAAUGAAAGGUGGAGUGGGGAAAUGUGUGCGAGCUCAUUGAGUAAGCGAGCUCAUAAAAUAAAUGGAAGUGUUUAGCGAUC